GGAGGAUUCGCCUAGUGGCCUAUGGCGCGCGCUUGGAAAGCGCGUUGGGAGCAAUCCCUCGCGGGUUCAAAUCCCGCAUCCUCCG
Molecule: transfer RNA, 85 nt
Filed under: Actinomycetota bacterium
Lineage: Bacteria; Bacillati; Actinomycetota
Description: Actinobacteria bacterium (freshwater metagenome) tRNA-Ser
Rfam family: tRNA
About the family: Transfer RNA (tRNA) molecules are approximately 80 nucleotides in length. Their secondary structure includes four short double-helical elements and three loops (D, anti-codon, and T loops).
Source: RNAcentral